This 379-nucleotide unclassified non-coding RNA is filed under the name uncultured Gammaproteobacteria bacterium. Its description in RNAcentral is "contains 16S-23S intergenic spacer region". Lineage: Bacteria; Pseudomonadati; Pseudomonadota; Gammaproteobacteria. The record is from RNAcentral.
UCCGGUUUGUCACCGGCAGUCUCCCUAGAGUUCCCACCAUUACGUGCUGGCAACUAGGGACAAGGGUUGCGCUCGUUGCGGGACUUAACCCAACAUCUCACGACACGAGCUGACGACAGCCAUGCAGCACCUGUGUUACGGCUCUCUUUCGAGCACGCCUCGAUCUCUCAAGGCUUCCGUACAUGUCAAGGGUAGGUAAGGUUUUUCGCGUUGCAUCGAAUUAAUCCACAUCAUCCACCGCUUGUGCGGGUCCCCGUCAAUUCCUUUGAGUUUUAAUCUUGCGGCCGUACUCCCCAGGCGGUCAACUUCACGCGUUAGCUUCGUUACCAAGGAAUUACUUCCCCGACAACCAGUUGACAUCGUUUAGGGCGUGGACUAC